RNAcentral lists this long non-coding RNA (370 nucleotides) under Olea europaea subsp. europaea. The record is from RNAcentral. Lineage: Eukaryota; Viridiplantae; Streptophyta; Magnoliopsida; Lamiales; Oleaceae.
CAAAGCAGAAANUACAUUACAAUGGCUGGUGAAUAUGAGCUGAGACUAAUCUGGCUGCUCCCACCAAACAAUCUUUUUGGCUCAAAUGUCGCUGCUAAGUGGCUUGUGGAGAUCAUAAUUUCCAGUUUACAAAUUGGAUUCUCAUUGUUUAUUGCAACUCGAGAUGUGAAUUCUUGAUGUUGAUAAUCAUUUAGUUUGCUUCUUAAAAACAAUUGAUAUUGUAGAGUCCAAAAGUUGAUAUAGUUGAAUAUCUGUGUAUUCCUUUCAAGAAAUUGAUGUUAUGGAAGAGUACUCUUUUGUUGCAAAUUUUUGAAUUCAAUGUUCAAAUCAAAUAUCAGUUGUUACAAUUUUCUAGAGAAAUGGUGCUUGG